Molecule: ribosomal RNA, 433 nt
Filed under: uncultured bacterium
Lineage: Bacteria
Description: partial 16S ribosomal RNA
Rfam family: Bacterial small subunit ribosomal RNA
Source: RNAcentral
AACGAACGCUGGCGGCAUGCCUAACACAUGCAAGUCGAACGAGACCUUCGGGUCUAGUGGCGCACGGGUGCGUAACGCGUGGGAACCUGCCCCUAGGUUCGGAAUAACUCCCCGAAAGGGGUGCUAAUACCGGAUAAUGUCUUCGGACCAAAGAUUUAUCGCCUUUGGAUGGGCCCGCGUUGGAUUAGCUAGUUGGUAGGGUAAAAGCCUACCAAGGCGACGAUCCAUAGCUGGUCUGAGAGGAUGAUCAGCCACACUGGGACUGAGACACGGCCCAGACUCCUACGGGAGGCAGCAGUGGGGAAUAUUGGACAAUGGGCGAAAGCCUGAUCCAGCAAUGCCGCGUGAGUGAUGAAGGCCUUAGGGUUGUAAAGCUCUUUUACCCGGGAUGAUAAUGACAGUACCGGGACAAUAAGCUCCGGCUAACUCCGUG